RNAcentral lists this long non-coding RNA (313 nucleotides) under Brachypodium distachyon (stiff brome). RNAcentral's name for it is "long non-coding RNA (BDIS_LNC003944)". The record is from RNAcentral. Lineage: Eukaryota; Viridiplantae; Streptophyta; Magnoliopsida; Poales; Poaceae.
CACUAAACAAAAAUAUGUAGAACUCUGAAGAAGCUCUUUCUUCUCUCCAAGAAAUACAUCGAUUUAGAGAUAUUUUUAUAUUUUAAGAACUUUUUUUUAGGGAAACUCGUUUUUUAAGAACCUGUUUUCUUUUUUCUUUUUUUGAGUGGUUUUUAUAAGAACCUGGUACAUCGUUUCUGAACAGACAGAAGUUUUCGGGUUUCAGACGUAAAGCCCGUGAAGGCCAGCCUACCUUGGGCUGAACUCUAUUCAUGUUUCCAUCAGGUCCACGGGUUUCCCUGAAAAGAAAUCUGGCCCACUCCUUGCAUAUGCA